This 294-nucleotide long non-coding RNA is filed under the name Elaeis guineensis (African oil palm). Its description in RNAcentral is "long non-coding RNA (EGUI_LNC054305)". The record is from RNAcentral. Lineage: Eukaryota; Viridiplantae; Streptophyta; Magnoliopsida; Arecales; Arecaceae.
GACAGAAGUUAUGGAUAGCUCAUUAAAUCUCAUCAUCAGUCAUAUGUAAGAUUUAUUCGACUCGAGUUCAUCUUGUGAAUAUUCAUAGAAACUCUUUUUCAUCAAUCAUACUGUCUUGGUUAAAGACUUCAGAACUCAGUCUCAUAAAUCACGUAGAACUAUUUUUUUUAUUAAGAUUAAUAGAUCCCAUCUAAAUGCACAUCCUGCUCUUAUAGUGGACUAACUGUCGUCAAUAUCCACUAUAAGGAAUCAUUGAGGUUAUAUUUAUGUAUAGUCAAAUUUUAGUAGCCUCAC